CCUACGGGUGGCAGCAGUGAGGAAUAUUGGUCAAUGGACGGAAGUCUGAACCAGCCAUGCCGCGUGCAGGAAGACGGCUCUAUGAGUUGUAAACCUCUUUUAUGCGGGGAUAAAGGUGUCCACGUGUGGAUGUUUGCAGGUACCGCAUGAAUCAGGACCGGCUAAUUCCGUGCCAGCAGCCGCGGUAAUACGGAAGGUCCGGGCGUUAUCCGGAUUUAUUGGGUUUAAAGGGAGCGUAGGCCGGUCUUUAAGCGUGCCGUGAACUUUUGUGGCUCAACCAUGAGAGUGCGGCGCGAACUGGAGACCUUGAGUGCGCGGAAGGCAGGCGGAAUUCGUGGUGUAGCGGUGAAAUGCUUAGAUAUCACGAAGAACCCCGAUUGCGAAGGCAGCCUGCCGCAGCGUUACUGACGCUGAAGCUCGAAAGCGCGGGUAUCGAACAGGAUUAGAUACCCGGGUAGUC
RNAcentral lists this ribosomal RNA (460 nucleotides) under uncultured bacterium. Its description in RNAcentral is "partial 16S ribosomal RNA". It matches the Rfam family "Bacterial small subunit ribosomal RNA", at positions 338 to 795 of the family's 1533-position model. The record is from RNAcentral.